GACAAUGGGCGGGAGCCUGAUCCAGCCAUGCCGCGUGCAGGAUGACGGCCCUAUGGGUUGUAAACUGCUUUUAUACGGGAAGAAACGCACCUACGUGUAGGUGUCUGACGGUACCGUAAGAAUAAGGACCGGCUAACUCCGUGCCAGCAGCCGCGGUAAUACGGAGGGUCCGAGCGUUAUCCGGAAUCAUUGGGUUUAAAGGGUCCGUAGGCGGGCAUGUAAGUCAGGGGUGAAAGUUUGUGGCUCAACCAUAAAAUUGCCUUUGAUACUGCAUGUCUUGAGUCAUGGUGGGGUUGCCGGAACAUGUGGUGUAGCGGUGAAAUGCAUAGAUAUCACAUAGAACACCGAUCGCGAAGGCAGGUGACCAACCAUGUACUGACGCUGAUGGACGAAAGCGUGGGUAGCGAACUGGAUUAGAUACCCCGGUAGUCCACGCCGUAAACGAUGGAUACUAGCUGUGGGGACUUCGGUCUCCGUGGCCAAGCGAAAGUGAUAAGUAUCCCACCUGGGGAGUACGUUCGCAAGAAUGAAACUCAAAGGAAUUGACGGGG
Molecule: ribosomal RNA, 551 nt
Filed under: uncultured Allomuricauda sp.
Lineage: Bacteria; Pseudomonadati; Bacteroidota; Flavobacteriia; Flavobacteriales; Flavobacteriaceae
Description: bacterial SSU rRNA
Rfam family: Bacterial small subunit ribosomal RNA
Source: RNAcentral